This 374-nucleotide RNase P RNA is filed under the name Metarhizium album ARSEF 1941. Its description in RNAcentral is "Nuclear RNase P". It matches the Rfam family "Nuclear RNase P". Rfam says of the family: Ribonuclease P (RNase P) is a ubiquitous endoribonuclease, found in archaea, bacteria and eukarya as well as chloroplasts and mitochondria. Lineage: Eukaryota; Fungi; Ascomycota; Sordariomycetes; Hypocreales; Clavicipitaceae. The record is from Rfam by way of RNAcentral.
GGAAAUCUCAACAUACUGUCCGUCUUCUCCCAUUCGGGAGGCGGGCGCGGCAGACGAUGGGACUUUUUGCAUGCGAGAAAUUCGGAGAAGCCUCUACACUUUUGAAAAAGACUUGGAAACUUGUUUUUUUCUGCCGCGGUCACUCUUUUGCGAAGAGGAGGACGGGCCUGCCCGUGAGGGCUCGGCGUCCAUCGACGCCCGCAGUUGGCAUCAGAAAUUUCAGGGCUGCCUCGGGUCCCCUCUCUCUCUCUUGGGAGGGGGGUGGCUUGUUUGGUUGGUCUCCUAUGGGAAGCUGCUGCGUAGAUUGUGUGUUGACACUUGAGUGCGAUGCGUGGCGUGGCGGGUAGCCAUGAUUCGAUUCCGAUUAUUCUUCC